CGCCAAUGGCGGGCUGCUAAUAAUGCAAGUCGAGCGAACCGACGGGAGCUUGCUCCCGUGUAGUGUCAGAGGCGGACGGGGGGGUGGGCGGGGUGUACCGGCCCGGGAACGGGGAUAACUCCGGGAAACCGGGGCUAAUACCGGAUGCUUGAUUGAACCGCAGGUUCAAUUAUAAAAGGUGGCUUUUAGCUACCACUUACAGAUGGACCCGCGGCGCAUAGCUAGUUGGUGAGGUAACGGCUCACCAAGGCGACGAUGCGUAGCCGACCUGAGAGGGUGAUCGGCCACACUGGGACUGAGACACGGCCCAGACUCCUACGGGAGGCAGCAGUAGGGAAUCUUCCGCAAUGGACGAAAGUCUGACGGAGCAACGCCGCGUGAGUGAUGAAGGUUUUCGGAUCGUAAAACUCUGUUGUUAGGGAAGAACAAGUACCGUUCGAACAGGGCGGUGCCUUGACGGUACCUAACCAGAAAGCCACGGCUAACUACGUGCCAGCAGCCGCGGUAAUACGUAGGUGGCAAGCGUUGUCCGGAAUUAUUGGGCGUAAAGCGCGCGCAGGCGGUUUCUUAAGUCUGAUGUGAAAGCCCCCGGCUCAACCGGGGAGGGUCAUUGGAAACUGGGGAACUUGAGUGCAGAAGAGGAGAGUGGAAUUCCACGUGUAGCGGUGAAAUGCGUAGAGAUGUGGAGGAACACCAGUGGCGAAGGCGACUCUCUGGUCUGUAACUGACGCUGAGGCGCGAAAGCGUGGGGAGCGAACAGGAUUAGAUACCCUGGUAGUCCACGCCGUAAACGAUGAGUGCUAAGUGUUAGAGGGUUUCCGCCCUUUAGUGCUGCAGCAACGCAUUAAGCACUCCGCCUGGGGAGUACGGUCGCAGACUGAACUCAAGGAAUUGACGGGGCCCGCACAGCGUGGAGCAUGUGGUUUAUCGAGCACGCGAGAUCUUACCAGUCUGACAUCUCUGACACCCUAGAGAUAGGGCUCUCCUCGGGGCAGAUGACAGUGGUGCAUGAUUGUCGUCACCUCUGUCAUGAAUGUGGCUAAGUCCCCCACGAGGCGCAACCUGGAACUAAUGCCACCCAUUCAUGGCACUCUCGUACAGUCGUCAACAGAAGUGGGUGAAUUCAAUAUCAUGGGCCCC
This 1140-nucleotide ribosomal RNA is filed under the name Frankia sp. NTA05. RNAcentral describes it as "bacterial SSU rRNA". It matches the Rfam family "Bacterial small subunit ribosomal RNA", at positions 34 to 1201 of the family's 1533-position model. The record is from RNAcentral. Lineage: Bacteria; Bacillati; Actinomycetota; Actinomycetes; Frankiales; Frankiaceae.